This 427-nucleotide ribosomal RNA is filed under the name Aphaenops bessoni. RNAcentral's name for it is "partial 16S large subunit ribosomal RNA". Lineage: Eukaryota; Metazoa; Arthropoda; Insecta; Coleoptera; Carabidae. The record is from RNAcentral.
UUAAAUGGCUGCAGUAAUUUGACUGUACAAAGGUAGCAUAAUCAUUAGUUUUUUAAUUAAAAGCUUGAAUGAAAGGUUGGACGAAGUAAAAUCUGUCUCUUUUUAAUAUAAUUAGAAUUUAAUUUUUAAGUUAAAAAGCUUAAAUUUUUGUAAAAGACGAGAAGACCCUAUAGAGUUUAAUAAUUUUUUAAAAGUGAUUAUUUAGAUUUAUUAUUUUUAUUUUUUAAAAUAUUAUUUUAUUGGGGUAAUAAUAAGAUUUAAAUAAUUCUUUUUUUUUAACCAUUAAUUUAUGAAAUAUAUGAUCCAUUUUUUAUGAUUAUAAGAUUAAAUUACCUUAGGGAUAACAGCGUAAUUUUUUUGGAAAGUUCUUAUUGAUAAAAAAGUUUGCGACCUCGAUGUUGGAUUAAAGAUUAAUUUAGGUGUAGAA